UCAACACAGAGUCCACACUGGUUUCAUAUGUGAUGAGGAGAAAAGCAAACAGUGGAGAACAGCAGUAGAUACGACACAGAAAAGCAAGAAAGAAAAAUUAAGGACUAAAAGACAGAGCUGUUUCUAAAACAUCAGAUGGUGCACUUGAAAAUAAUACCAUAAAGGCUCAUCAUUUUAAACAAUUAUUGAUUACACCCUGGGGAUUUUUCACCAAUUCCACUCGAUGCUGCUUUUAAAAUGUUCUUUGGCCUGUUAAUGAUUAAAGAUUUGGAUUUCACUCUUUACACUAAAUGUAAGUGUUAACAGGAAAAGAAAACCUAAGAAAC
Molecule: long non-coding RNA, 326 nt
Organism: Ficedula albicollis (Collared flycatcher)
Lineage: Eukaryota; Metazoa; Chordata; Aves; Passeriformes; Muscicapidae
Exons: 3
Source: RefSeq, a predicted model, not a curated record